Molecule: ribosomal RNA, 492 nt
Filed under: uncultured bacterium
Lineage: Bacteria
Description: partial 16S ribosomal RNA
Rfam family: Bacterial small subunit ribosomal RNA
Source: RNAcentral
AGUGAAAGGGGGGGGUAGGCCUAACACAUGCAAGUCGAACGGCAGCACAGUAAGAGCUUGCUCUUACGGGUGGCGAGUGGCGGACGGGUGAGGAAUACAUCGGAAUCUACUUUUUCGUGGGGGAUAACGUAGGGAAACUUACGCUAAUACCGCAUACGACCUACGGGUGAAAGUAGGGGAUCUUCGGACCUUGCGCGAUUGAAUGAGCCGAUGUCGGAUUAGCUAGUUGGCGGGGUAAAGGCCCACCAAGGCGACGAUCCGUAGCUGGUCUGAGAGGAUGAUCAGCCACACUGGAACUGAGACACGGUCCAGACUCCUACGGGAGGCAGCAGUGGGGAAUAUUGGACAAAGGGCGCAAGCCUGAUCCAGCCAUACCGCGUGGGUGAAGAAGGCCUUCGGGUUGUAAAGCCCUUUUGUUGGGAAAGAAAAGCAGCAGGUUAAUACCCCGCUGUUCUGACGGUACCCAAAGAAUAAGCACCGGCUAACUUCGUG